ACUAUUCAUCAUACACACACACUGGGCAACCCAAGUGUUCGACACUGUAUUCAAUGGCUCACGACAACAGCAAGAAUAACCGCCGCUACACACGGCAACAGAAUCGAUCUCGGGUGUCUUACAAGACACAAAAGAGCGCAGAUACUAUGAUAAUGUUUAUAUACGUUUCCACACCAGGCAAAGCUGUAUUAUUUCGGGGAUGCACAAACAGUUGAUAAAACUGUGAGAAAAGAAAAAGGCAAGCGAGUGCAUGCUGCACAACCAGGAAAGGGGAACUGCGGGGGAGGCCAGAGGGGCGAGCGGGGCUGCGCCGGGCCGGUGAGGCGCCCCGUCUGCACCCGACAAGCCCCGUGUUGUUUCUGGAUAUUCCACCGCAUACUUGGCUGCGCGUCCUUCUGUACACACAGCACAUUCUCGAAGCUUACAAAGGUCGAGAACAUUGCUGACGUGGCCCAUGACCGGCUCGUGUGUUCAUCCGGCAGACGCGGAGCACAGCUACAUGCUGAGCAUGCUAUGCAGGACCUGCUUGCCAGCGAGCCCGUGAAAAUCCAGUCCAAGGAACAGGAACAGCUAUCACACAUGGCAAAAAGGCGAGAAAGGCCAUGAGAAACAUAUCAGAAGCAAAGCAGCCCAUGAUAGAUGCCGUGCUGAGGCUCCUCUCCCUAGGCAGCACUGCAUCAGGAAUAAUCCCACACUCAGCAUCCUUGGAAUGAGAAGUAUAAAGAGGAGGAGAAGUUCAUCUCAGAACUUCAAAAAGACCUGCGCUGAAAUCCUCGACUCUACUGCGCUAUGCAGGAGGAGUCUUAGACCCACUUGAUUGAUGAAAACACUCAGACUCAGACCAGGAGCAGACAGGUAGAGAGCCGUGGAACCAGCUUGGAGAAAGGUCAGUGGGACUCCAAAUCCCAUUCUCUUAGAUAAAAACUAUGUUGCCUCUUCAAUUCUUCAAGUCCAUCAAAGUUGUCUGACUCCACAUAAGGAGGGACUUUAAACCAAUGAGAAACUGCCAGAAAGGCUGCACUCAAAACUAAGCAAGAGCAGUGUAGAAACCGGGCACCAAAGCUGUCCCAGCGCUAGAUGCAGCUCCUGGCUCGCCGCUUAACACCCAAAGAAUUUGGUAAGGUUGGCUGUGCUCUCCAAAUAGCCUCAGUUUACUCAACUGUAACAAAAUAAGCCUGCUAGGGCCUUUGUCAGGAUUAGGGAAAUUAAUCCACCUUUUAAAAUGUUUGCAAAUUAUAAAGAGAUACAAAGUACAGAGCGAGACAGCUCCCACACCCAUGCCUCCCUCCGCCUCCCAGCCCUGGGGCUCUAACCCCUCCACAGCAGUGCACGCCUCCCUCCGCCUCCCAGCCCUGGGGCUCUAACCCCUCCACAGCAGUGCACGCCUCCCUCCGCCUCCCAGCCCUGGGGCUCUAACCCCUCCUCAGCAGUGCCGCUUGCUUCACCACAUUCUCCCCUGCCUUGACUCUCCCCUGCACUGGCUCCUUCUCAAAGAAAACAUUGUUUUACUGUGGCCUCCUUCAGUCACCAGCCCACCUUGCUCCUCCUACACCCCCCAUGGUGUGUGACCACCACCUCCCCUUCCCUUUGCCUUCUUAACAAUUAUUCCGCAGCAAUCCAGCUUCUACCAAGCUCCUUAUUCCACCAAACCUCACAAAGUCAUUGAUGGCAUUGGCGCAGUCAUCCAACAGUUACAAAAAGACUCUCCCAUGUAAGAGACACUUCCUAGUAUUAUCUGUACAAGUCUCAAGGGUAAGGACUGUAGGUGUUUUUCUACAAAACUUUCAAGAUAACAUGCGUUCCAGGUAUUGGCAAGCAUGUGGAGGAACUGGGACUCUCACACAAAGCUAGAAAUCCUUCUACCAUAAAGACACGCAUGCUUAUGUUCACUGCAGCACUACUCACAAUAGCAAAGACAUGGAAUCAA
Molecule: long non-coding RNA, 1927 nt
Filed under: Homo sapiens (human)
Lineage: Eukaryota; Metazoa; Chordata; Mammalia; Primates; Hominidae
Description: HSALNT0392080
Source: RNAcentral